AACAAAGGUGUUUCAGAACAAUAACCAUUAAGCCAAGUCAGAACCAUAAAGAAGAGAUAGGGACCCAAUGAUGCCAAGGGGCUCAUAGCCCAAAUCGACUUUGCCAUCUCCCUCCCUCCUCCCCCUCCAUCAUACCUUCUCUUCUGGCUUUUUGCCUCAUCUCUAUUAAUGGAAUUAUUGUUCUAAAUCCUGACACACAAAUUCAAGCUCAAUGUCCAGUCUACUUCCUCAGUGUUUCAAAUAGUUAAAUUCACAAAUUUGGAAUCGAGGCCUCAGUUCAAAUCCAGGCAUUCCUGGAGGCUUGACCUUGGUUAAAUGACUUUACCUCUCUGCUUUCCGUUGGUUCUGAUGAAAAAACUACCUCAUGAGAUUAUUGUGUCUAUUGAAGGACAUCUGAUUCGUUUACUGUGCCCAGGGGAUGUGUGACAAAGUAACUCUGAGUGAGCUGCAUCCCAAGGAUUUUGAACCUUUGCUGAAGUGAUACUGAGAAGGAACUGGACUGAGUGGGCAGACUGAAACCUGGACUAGGCUGUUGAAGUUGACAUGGGUAUCAUUUAAGUGAAUUGCCCAGACUUCAGAAUAUGUCUUGAUAUCAAAUUACUGUAUGAUUGACCUAGUGGUGCCACAAAGUAUACUUUGGGUUGAUUUUCCCAGAAAGGGAUGAAUAUUCCUAUCAUCAAUCAUUCUGAAUUAGAAAAUGAAAACCUGGUGGCUGGGCUUCAAAAGCGAGGUAAGGAAAAACUUCUCUUUCUGAGGAUGAAAAUCAGUUGUGCCUGAAUUUCAACCAUGGGGAUGUCUGGAGUGAUUUCCAUAGUGAAGGCAAGCCUCAUUAAGAUUUUGCACCUGUUUUCUGAUGUGCUAUGAAGAAUUAAAGAAAGAGCCUGCCUCAUAGUUGAGACAAAAUAAGAGACAGCAGCAUUUCUUCCUAUAACAGUUGCUGCAGUAGGGUGCGGCGGCUCAUGCCUGUAAUCCCAGCACUUUGGGAGCCUGAGGUAUACACCUAACUGUGGACACAUUCAUCUUACUAAUCUGUAGGGAGAUAUUGCUGGAGUAUAGAGUAAAUAGAAGAAAAA
This 1073-nucleotide long non-coding RNA is filed under the name Homo sapiens (human). RNAcentral describes it as "HSALNT0330038". The record is from RNAcentral. Lineage: Eukaryota; Metazoa; Chordata; Mammalia; Primates; Hominidae.